AGUGAACGCUGGCGGUAGGCCUAACACAUGCAAGUCGAACGGCAGCACAGUAAGAGCUUGCUCUUACGGGUGGCGAGUGGCGGACGGGUGAGGAAUACAUCGUAAUCUACUUUUUCGUGGGGGAUAACGUAGGUAAACUUACGCUAAUACCGCAUACGACCUACGGGUGAAAGCAGGGGAUCUUCGGACCUUGCGCGAUUGAAUGAGCCGAUGUCGGAUUAGCUAGUUGGCGGGGUAAAGGCCCACCAAGGCGACGAUCCGUAGCUGGUCUGAGAGGAUGAUCAGCCACACUGGAACUGAGACACGGUCCAGACUCCUACGGGAGGCAGCAGUGGGGAAUAUUGGACAAUGGGCGCAAGCCUGAUCCAGCCAUACCGCGUGGGUGAAGAAGGCCUUCGGGUUGUAAAGACCUUUUGUUGGGAAAGAAAAGCAGCAGGUUAAUACCCAGCUGUUCUGACGGUACCCAAAGAAUAAGCACCGGCUAACUUCGUG
This 492-nucleotide ribosomal RNA is filed under the name uncultured bacterium. Its description in RNAcentral is "partial 16S ribosomal RNA". It matches the Rfam family "Bacterial small subunit ribosomal RNA", at positions 29 to 507 of the family's 1533-position model. The record is from RNAcentral.